CCGUACUGCUCUUUGCUCAAAAAAUGAGCCGUACCCUGGCUGACUUGACGAAGGAUUUUACAUUGUUUCUUUCAUUCACUGCGACUCUUCAAUCACUCUGAUAUUGCACAUUCCUGAAAUUUGACACGGGGUGAAAAGAGACA
Non-coding RNA from Caenorhabditis elegans, 143 nucleotides. Lineage: Eukaryota; Metazoa; Nematoda; Chromadorea; Rhabditida; Rhabditidae. The record is from Ensembl.